Molecule: microRNA precursor, 54 nt
Filed under: Monodelphis domestica (gray short-tailed opossum)
Lineage: Eukaryota; Metazoa; Chordata; Mammalia; Didelphimorphia; Didelphidae
Description: microRNA mdo-mir-7394b precursor
Source: miRBase by way of RNAcentral
ACAUGUAUGCCCAGGUUACUUGCUGCUCUACAUGUGACCUUGCCAUACAUGUUC